UACAGAGGGGGCAAGCGUUAUUCGGAAUUAUUGGGCGUAAAGGGCGCGUAGGCGGCUUGGCAAGUGGCUGGUGAAAUCCCUCGGCUUAACCGAGGAACUGCCGUCCAAACUGCUUCGCUUGAGACCGGGAGAGGUGAGUGGAAUUCCCAGUGUAGCGGUGAAAUGCGUAGAUAUUGGGAGGAACACCAGUGGCGAAGGCGGCUCACUGGACCGGUACUGACGCUGAUGCGCGAAAGCGUGGGGAGCAAACGGG
Molecule: ribosomal RNA, 253 nt
Filed under: uncultured bacterium
Lineage: Bacteria
Description: partial 16S ribosomal RNA
Rfam family: Bacterial small subunit ribosomal RNA
Source: RNAcentral